CCGGAGCUGCCCGGCUCGUCAGGUACAUUAUCCCUGGGGCCAAUAAGCAACCUCCGGGAGCUGGCUCUGACCGGAUCUUGGUCCGGUUACCUGGCGCCCACCUGUUUACGCAGGUCUCGGGAGGAUAAAAACGCCAACGGCCAUGGCGGCUCCACU
Molecule: non-coding RNA, 156 nt
Organism: Acetobacteraceae bacterium AT-5844
Lineage: Bacteria; Pseudomonadati; Pseudomonadota; Alphaproteobacteria; Acetobacterales; Acetobacteraceae
Rfam family: 6S / SsrS RNA
About the family: E. coli 6S RNA was the first non coding RNA to be sequenced, but its function was unknown until recently. It consists of 184 nucleotides that fold into an extended hairpin structure with a large single-stranded internal bulge.
Source: Rfam